Non-coding RNA from Glycine soja, 120 nucleotides. NCBI's taxonomy places the organism in Eukaryota, Viridiplantae, Streptophyta, Magnoliopsida, Fabales, Fabaceae. The record is from Rfam.
UUUUUGUUGGAUGAUGACUGUCACGUGUCAUGUUGUGAUUGAUCAAUGAAAAUAACAAUGCAUUUCAUCUUUCAUGGAGUUCACAUUCAAUCAGAAUAUGACAUGUGACAAUCAUUAUUC